AUACGAAGGGUGCAAGCGUUGUUCGGAUUUAUUGGGCGUAAAGCGCGCGCAGGCGGGUUAUUAAGCCAGAUGUGAAAUCUCGGAGCUCAACUCCGAAACUGCGUCUGGAACUGGUAACCUAGAAUACUGGAGAGGAAGGUGGAAUUUCGCAUGUAGGGGUAAAAUCCGUAGAGAUGCGAAGGAACAUCAGGGGCGAAGGCGGCCUUCUGGACAGUUAUUGACGCUGAGGCGCGAAAGCGUGGGGAGCAAACAGGAUUAGAAACCCUAGUAGUCC
RNAcentral lists this ribosomal RNA (274 nucleotides) under uncultured bacterium. RNAcentral describes it as "partial 16S ribosomal RNA". It matches the Rfam family "Bacterial small subunit ribosomal RNA", at positions 523 to 796 of the family's 1533-position model. The record is from RNAcentral.